RNAcentral lists this ribosomal RNA (484 nucleotides) under uncultured bacterium. RNAcentral's name for it is "partial 16S ribosomal RNA". It matches the Rfam family "Bacterial small subunit ribosomal RNA", at positions 28 to 523 of the family's 1533-position model. The record is from RNAcentral.
GACGAACGCUGGCGGCGUGCUUAACACAUGCAAGUCGAACGAUGAACCCGGAGCUUGCUCCGGUGGAUUAGUGGCGAACGGGUGAGUAACACGUGAGUAACCUGCCCUUGACUCUGGGAUAACUGCGGGAAACUGUAGCUAAUACCUGAUACGACCUUCGGCGGCAUCGCCAGGGGACGGAAAGCAUUUCGGUCAAGGAUGGACUCGAGGCCUAUCAGAUAGUUGGUGAGGUAACGGCUCACCAAGGCGACGACGGGUAGCAGGCCUGAGAGGGUGACCGGCCACACUGGGACUGAGACACGGCCCAGACUCCUACGGGAGGCAGCAGUGGGGAAUAUUGCACAAUGGGCGCAAGCCUGAUGCAGCAACGCCGCGUGAGGGAUGACGGCCUUCGGGUUGUAAACCUCUUUUAGUAGGGAAGAAGCGAAAGUGACGGUACCUGCAGAAAAAGCACCGGCUAACUACGUGCCAGCCGCCGCGGUAA